UCCUCUCUAGCAGAAGACCCAUUUUCUUUCUUUCCUCCACUUCUACUUCUCCAUACUACUCUCUCAUUCUCUCCUUUACGUUCCCCUGCAGCACCACCGCACCAUGUUUCCUUUCUUCUUCCAAUAGCACCAAGAGACCACCUCCAUCUUCUUCAUUUCUUCUUCUUGCCACGGUCCCAUUCGUUCCCUUGGCAGUACCCCACGCACACACAUGUUCUUCUCACACUAAUCACCAUAUCCUUUCUCUUGAAUAGCAGCCACGUGAGCUCCUUGUUUCCUUGACCAUGAAAUAAGCCCAUCCUCAUCACCAACACCUUGAAAGCCAUCAUUCAGCUUCACCCUCAUCAUUUUUGCUGGCCUCAACGAGGCACCACAACUCUUUCUGAGAUCUUUUUAUGGGUACGAAGGACGGAAGCGCUGGACGACGAAGCCAAAGAACAAACGGAAGUGAGCCAACACGGGAAAGCAAAGAUAUGACUGGAUUUGAUUUGAGUCGCAACUUAGUAAGGAAAGCUCCUAAGAUGUCGAUGGCCGACUGGUUUUCGAUGGUCUCUCCCUCGGGGGGGGGGGGAUCAGGUUUGAGUUGGAGGACCGUACUGGCGUGGAAGUCUGACGAAAGGAGUUUUACGACGCAUGGAGCUGAGCUUCAACUUGCUGUCUUCAGUUCGCUGUGGACUCGGUUAUGUGAGCAGUACUGGGAGGGUAGGUUCAGGCAGGCGUCAUAUUUUGUGUAGAGCUCUGAUUCGUCUUACUUUUGGGACAGGGUAGGUUCCCGACGCAUGACUUUUCGUGUGGUUCUCUUAUUGAGGGAUCACAGUGAGUUAGUCGGACUGUAGGGGUUUUGCUUAGGCCAUUUUGAGGCCGACUUUCUUCUAGUGGGUUGUAAUUAUAAACUUUCUUACUCACACUUCUGGGUCUGUAUUUAUUUGCCUACGGGCACACUACUUUGGAGUCACUGCGAGUGCGCGUGACAUGGGAGUGCAGCUGAGGCUGUACAUGUGUAUAUAUUUGUAUAUCGGUUAGUUUAGUUGUUGGGUUUUGUCUUUAUUUCUUUAUCGCUUUUAUUUAAAGGAAUCAAUCGAAAAAAAAAUUACCUGUUUUCCGCGUAAAGUUUAUUUCUUUGGUUACUAAAGUGACACCUGGAAAUCGGGGUGUUACAUGCGUUUUGACGCGACCUCGGAGUGGGGAACCUUUGAACUGAUUGAAGUUGGUAUUUCGGGUU
This is a long non-coding RNA of Lotus japonicus, 1222 nucleotides long. RefSeq lists it as uncharacterized. NCBI's taxonomy places the organism in Eukaryota, Viridiplantae, Streptophyta, Magnoliopsida, Fabales, Fabaceae. The transcript has 3 exons. The record is from RefSeq and is a predicted model, not a curated record.